CAUGCAAGUCGAACGGUAACAUUGGUGCUUGCACCAGAUGACGAGUGGCGCACGGGUGCGUAACGCGUAUGCAAUCUACCUUUUACUAGAGUAUAGCCCAGAGAAAUUUGGAUUAAUCCUCUAUAAUAUCUUUUAAUUUCAUGAUUUUAAGAUUAAAGUUUUAACGGUAAAAGAUGAGCAUGCGUCCUAUUAGUUUGUAGGUGAGGUAACGGCUCACCUAGACUACGAUAGGUAGGGGCCCUGAGAGGGGGAUCCCCCACACUGGUACUGAGACACGGACCAGACUCCUACGGGAGGCAGCAGUAAGGAAUAUUGGACAAUGGACGAAAGUCUGAUCCAGCCAUGCCGCGUGCAGGAUGAAAGCCCUAUGGGUUGUAAACUGCUUUUAUACAGGAAGAAACACUCCGACGUGUCGGAGCUUGACGGUACUGUAAGAAUAAGGAUCGGCUAACUCCGUGCCAGCAGCCGCGGUAAUACGGAGGAUCCAAGCGUUAUCCGGAAUCAUUGGGUUUAAAGGGUCCGCAGGCUGUUUUUUAAGUCAGAGGUGAAAUCCUACAGCUCAACUGUAGAACUGCCUUUGAUACUGAAAAACUUGAGUUAUUGUGAAGUGGUUAGAAUGUGUGGUGUAGCGGUGAAAUGCAUAGAUAUCACACAGAAUACCGAUUGCGAAGGCAGAUCACUAACAAUAUACUGACGCUCAUGGACGAAAGCGUGGGGAGCGAACAGGAUUAGAUACCCUGGUAGUCCACGCCGUAAACGAUGGAUACUAGCUGUUCGUCUAACAUUGGUUAGAUGAGUGGCUAAGCGAA
Molecule: ribosomal RNA, 809 nt
Filed under: uncultured marine bacterium
Lineage: Bacteria
Description: bacterial SSU rRNA
Rfam family: Bacterial small subunit ribosomal RNA
Source: RNAcentral